RNAcentral lists this non-coding RNA (81 nucleotides) under Alicyclobacillus acidoterrestris. RNAcentral's name for it is "ZTP sequence". It matches the Rfam family "ZMP/ZTP riboswitch aptamer (pfl RNA motif)". Rfam says of the family: Previously known as pfl RNA. ZMP is also known as AICAR. The record is from RNAcentral. Lineage: Bacteria; Bacillati; Bacillota; Bacilli; Caryophanales; Alicyclobacillaceae. RNAcentral also lists the same sequence under 1 other name.
UUCGCGUUGCAUGACUGGCGGAAACGUGGGUCACCACAGGGGAGUGCAACGAUAGACAUGCCGGCCGCCUGGGCACUCGAA